UUCUUUCUAGAUACACUUUCCAGUACAUCUACUUUGUUACGACUUAUUUCACUUUAAAAUGAAAGCGACGGGCGAUAUGUACAUAUUUUAGAGCUAAAAUCAUUUUAAAUAAAUUUAUUAAAAUUACAUUCAAAUCCAAAUUCAAAUUUUUAUAAUAAAAAUUAUCCUUAAAUAAAUUUAAUGUAACCCAUCUCUACUUUAAUAUAAACUACACCUUGAUCUGAUUUACUUUCUAAUAAAAAUUCUUGAAUAUUAAUAUUCUAAUAAAAUAUUCAAACUACGACGAUAUGUAAAUUAAUAAUUAAAGUAAAUAUUAUCGUGGACUAUCAAUUACAGGACAGGUUCCUCUGAAAAGACUAAAAUACCGCCAAAUUUU
RNAcentral lists this ribosomal RNA (376 nucleotides) under Mimosestes anomalus. RNAcentral's name for it is "partial 12S ribosomal RNA". Lineage: Eukaryota; Metazoa; Arthropoda; Insecta; Coleoptera; Chrysomelidae. The record is from RNAcentral.